GUUUGUUUCCCUCCCUGAUGGUUUGAAGAUGAAACCAACAGGAAGCUGAGUUGAGAUGGCAUGCGUCCCUGUAGCAUGCUCUUCAACCGGAGGAGUGAGACGGUUGUGUUCCAGCUGGUGCAGAACUGAAAUGUGGUCUGAGAUCCGUCUGUCCUUGUGACCCUUGUCCAUUUGAUAGUUACCAGGCAUGAGUUUGACAGUACUGCCAGGAGAGACCCAGCCUCGGAGAAGCUCCACCGCAUGUCGGCAGAGCCGGGAUGCUGAGCACCUCUGCCCGCGCUGGCUCUCACUGGCGCAGAGCAAAUGACCAUGCUCACGUUCAGCAGCUCAUCAGACUGUAGCGACUCAGUCCCGUGGCCAAGUGUGACAGCAUGUGUGUGCCACGUGGGGACAUGCAGCAGGAAAACGUAACGCCAGGGAAAAAAAGGAAAAGCAGCUUCCCCCAGUCAUCUGGAGACRCCCUGCAGAUGCUCCAUCCCUGCUCUCUGCCCUGCUGCACUCCAGCCCCAUGGCCUGAGAUAGCCUGGCGUCUCCAGGAGAGGAGAAAGUUAAUCUCCCCUGCGCACACUGGAGGCACGGGACCUCUCGCUGCUGGACCGCYGUGGUGGUACCCAGAGGCACCUUCCUGCACGCUGAGCCUCGCUGCCGUGAUGCGUUUGGGGAGAGGCUGCAAAUCUGCACUGCGCAAGUGUCCUGCAGCUCUUGGAGUGGGGCACUGGAUGAAGUUCUUGGUGAUGGAGGACGCUGUACUGAGGUCCACGGCUGAAGGAUAUUCCUGUGCAGGAGCGGGAAGGCUCCCCACUUCUGCACCGUGCUGCAUGCCAGCCCUGGCCCUGAAGGGACUUUCUCGACACUCCAAAUUUUGUGUCUCUGCUGAAGCACCAGCUUCUGUUUGCUGCAGAGGGUUUGGGUUUCAAGGCCAUUGUGAUCCCAGGCUCUGUCCGCCUCCAUAAAGCAGAGCCACAACUGCUUUGUGGAACUAACCGUUUCUGGCGGGGCCUGGCUGUACUGUCUAGGAAGGUGUCCAGGCUUGGUUUAAAAGAGGGGGCAUGUUCAGCUUCAUUUUCCCUCCUGUGUAUUAGUGAAUUAUCCAUCUCCACAAGYUUCAUGACAAUGCCUUAGAGUGAUCCAGAAGCCCCAAGCCUGGACCCUACACCUCAACCUUCAUCUCACCUCCCAGCACGUGACUACUAGGCAUUGGCUUUGGCUAAUUAAAUGAAUGAUGCUUUUUGGUCCCAGCUGCAUUGGGAGCUGUUUGCAGCCUGCUCACACCAACCUCAUGAUUACAGACAGAUGCACUGUCCAGUGCUCAGAGAAAGCAAGCCCUGGAGAGGCUGCUGGCCCAUGUGCCACAUGUCCUGUUUGCCUCCCCGCAUGCUGCCUUGCUGCCAGCCCACAGGCAUCCCGCACUGGCACGGGGCUGGGCGCGGGCAUGCAGGGUUCUGCACACCCUUGAGGACAUGUGCUGACGGGGCUGGAGGUUGUGGCUUGCUAGACACGAGGUAGGCAAGCUCCGUCUUGAGGGCAGCUUGAGCUGUGCCCUUGACAGCUGUGGUAGAUGCAGGCAACGUGAUCUGUAGCUGGUUCCAGGAUAAGCGUCUUUCACCUGGGCAGAACUAAGUAAUCCUGUGGGCGGUCAAGCCCUUCGCUUAAAAUCACCUCUGGCAGACAAAGAGAGUCCCAGUAAGGUCUGGGAAAGGAUCAGAUAAGACAUCCCAUUUUGCGAAUGCUACACAUAGGUUCGCCCCAGCUUUUCCCCAGGGUCCCCAAAAGAAUGGGUCUUCCUCUGUCACCUUGAGUGACACCUGCCGGUCGGUGCCACUUGGGAGCAAGGGCAGAUGGUAGUUUGGCAGGCUUGCUUGUCUCUCAGUUUCCUUCGUAUAUUUUCCAAAAGGACACUCUGGUCUAGGAGGUAGCCAGCCCUGGAGAAUGGAGCCUGCUAUCUGCUCCGCAGUCGUAUGGGCAGGACCAAGGAAACCUUCAUUAUCUUUCUGCAAAAUGCCACCACUCUGGCCAAGGUGGAUGUAUCUUCCAGUGCCUGAAGUUCCUGGGCUCUCUGCUGAGCCUGCUGUUGAAAGAGCCAAGAGAUGCUGAGCAGGACACAGACUCCUGCCUCAUAGGGGGAGAGGGAAGGAGAAGGAAACGACUGUGUCCAUUAAAAUGGAACUAAUGACUGCAGGAAAUGAAAGCCACAUUUUGUGCCCUGUAGGACCACCAAGCACAUAGGAGCCCUGGCUGUUACUACUGAGCUGCAGUUGCUAAGUAAUUCACUGUUAUUUUGCAUAGCAGCCCAUGACAGGAAAGGAAGGAUUCAGUCUUGAAAUGAAAUUCUAAGGUUGUGGGAAGGACACAGCUACCUUCACUGGACUUUGGCUAAGGCAGCAGGAGAACCCCUUUACUGGUAGGAUGUAGGACAGGAAAAUAAAAUGACAAAACUCUUCA
RNAcentral lists this long non-coding RNA (2442 nucleotides) under Apteryx rowi (Okarito brown kiwi). RNAcentral's name for it is "lncRNA (ENSARWG00000014472.1)". Lineage: Eukaryota; Metazoa; Chordata; Aves; Apterygiformes; Apterygidae. The record is from RNAcentral.